This 309-nucleotide ribosomal RNA is filed under the name uncultured eukaryote. RNAcentral describes it as "partial 18S ribosomal RNA". It matches the Rfam family "Eukaryotic small subunit ribosomal RNA", at positions 1470 to 1796 of the family's 1831-position model. The record is from RNAcentral.
CCCUUAGAUGUUCUGGGCGGCCCGCGCACUACAUUGGCACUCUCAAUAAGUUCCUAGAUCUAAAACUUUGGGGUAUUCUAUUAAGUGGUGUCGUGACUGGGAUUAACCCUUGCAAUUAUUGGUUACGAACGAGGAAUUCCUUGUAAUCGCGGUUUAUCAGCCCGCGUUGAAUGCGUCCCUGCCCUUUGUACACACCGCCCGUCGUUCCUACCGAUGAAUCGUCCGGUGAAGUUCAUGGAGUGGUGGUUGUUCCAGCUGCUGUCGAAGUGAAAUGGACCUCACGAUUUAGAGGAAGGAGAAGUCGUAACA